AAUCAGUAGUUUUUUAAUUGAAAACUUGUAUGAAGGGUUGAAUGAAAUAUUAUCUGUUUCAUAAAAAUUUUAUUAGAAUUUUAUUUUUUAAUUAAAAAGUUAAAAUAUAAUUAGAGGACGAGAAGACCCUAUAGAAUUUUAUAAUAUUUUAAUUUAUUUUUUAUAAAAAAUUUUUUGAAAUUUAUAUUAAAUAUUAUUUUAUUGGGGUGAUAUUAUAAUUUAAAAAACUUAUAUUUUUUUUUACAAAAAUUAUUGAAUUUUUGAUCUUGUUUUAUAGAUUAAAAGAAUAAAUUACCUUAGGGAUAACAGCGUAAUUUUAUUUUUAAGUUCUUAUUUAUAAUAAAGAUUGCGACCUCG
RNAcentral lists this ribosomal RNA (357 nucleotides) under Lygistorrhina cerqueirai. RNAcentral describes it as "partial 16S ribosomal RNA". The record is from RNAcentral. Lineage: Eukaryota; Metazoa; Arthropoda; Insecta; Diptera; Keroplatidae.